Long non-coding RNA from Sapajus apella (tufted capuchin), 488 nucleotides. RefSeq lists it as uncharacterized. NCBI's taxonomy places the organism in Eukaryota, Metazoa, Chordata, Mammalia, Primates, Cebidae. The transcript has 2 exons. The record is from RefSeq and is a predicted model, not a curated record.
AAGUUGCAGUGAGCUGAGAUCAUGCCACUGCAAACAGUGAGACUCUCAAAUAAUAAUAAUAUUAUUAUUAAUAAAAACAUUGGAGAAGAGGGAAGAAUUGUAAUGGAAGUUGCCAUCCUCUUAAAAAAAGGUUUAAGGGGCCAGGUGUGGUGGCUUACACUAUGUAAUAACAGCAAUUUGGGAGGCCAAGUGGAAGGAUCACUGAGGUCAGGAGUUGGAGACCAGCCUGGGCGACAUAGUGAUACCAUCUCUAUGAAAAGUUGUAUCUUCAUAAAUAAACAGUUAAAGGAGAAAAGGCUUUUGAUCAGCUUAGCUACUUUAUUGCCAUAGGUUAUUCAAGUGAUUGUUUUCCACGGUAGCCAUUAACUUUGCUAUUGUUAUAACUGAAACCUGGCCCUUCAAGAAAGUAGAAGUAACAUCUUCAGUCUGAAUAGUAUUAGUGAAUUUAGCCCUGCCAUGAGUUCCAUGUGCACCUUUAAUGCAAAAAA